RNAcentral lists this ribosomal RNA (301 nucleotides) under uncultured bacterium. RNAcentral describes it as "partial 16S ribosomal RNA". It matches the Rfam family "Bacterial small subunit ribosomal RNA", at positions 509 to 807 of the family's 1533-position model. The record is from RNAcentral.
CAGCAGCCACGGGAAUACGUAGGGUGCGAGCGUUAAUCGGAAUUACUGGGCGUAAAGCGUGCGCAGGCGGUUUUGUAAGACAGGCGUGAAAUCCCCGGGCUCAACCUGGGAAUGGCGCUUGUGACUGCAAAGCUAGAGUGCGGCAGAGGGGGAUGGAAUUCCGCGUGUAGCAGUGAAAUGCGUAGAUAUGCGGAGGAACGCCGAUGGCGAAGGCAAUCCCCUGGGCCUGCACUGACGCUCAUGCACGAAAGCGUGGGGAGCAAACAGGAUUAGAUACCCCCGUAGUCCCUGUCUCUUAUAC